This is a long non-coding RNA of Oncorhynchus nerka (sockeye salmon), 1029 nucleotides long. RefSeq lists it as uncharacterized. NCBI's taxonomy places the organism in Eukaryota, Metazoa, Chordata, Actinopteri, Salmoniformes, Salmonidae. The record is from RefSeq and is a predicted model, not a curated record. The transcript is spliced from 5 exons.
GCUGUGCCUGCCUGUCAGGAACCAUGUCAUCUGAAGCAGGGCAGGCUAUAAGACACUUUCCGACCCCAGUGAACGGAAAUCAAUUGCUUUCCAUAGGAGAAAAAGGUCAACCCAGGACGCAACAGACCCAGAACAUUAUCAUCUGAGAGCCUCGGGAUGUCAUAUGAACGCAUUUUGUCCAUCCAAAGUUUGAGUGAGGUUGAGAACCCAUGGAAAAGCAUUACUCUGAACCGUUGCAUAGUGUUGGCCAUCAUCAUUGUGCUUGUGAGCUCAGGGGUGAAUGAAGUACAUGAUGCUCUGGAUGUACUUCUAGAGGACAAGGUUCUUCCCCAGAUGUUCCUUGGAGGCACGGGUCUACAACCAGACGGCGUAGCUCAGCCUGCAGCCUCUCUGUGGGACAGCUUGCUGAGUUGGGGCUCAGACGAUGGAAGAAAAGGAAAUCCAAAGAGAAGAGGGGGAAUCUUGAGAAUCAGAAAUAGAGAUGUGUCUGACAAAGGGCUGUUAAAGGAAUGAUCGAGGGAAUACAUUAUGGAGAAUGGUAAAGGAGGGGAAAGAGGAGGAUAGUGCAACAAAAAAGGAAAACAUUUUCUGAAGGACUAAUCAAAGUGUGUUUAUUAUGUUGAAAUAUAAGGAUAUAUUGUAGUUAAAAUGUUACUACUGUAAAAAAAAAAAAGAAAAAAAAUGAUUUACAGUACAUCACAAUGAUCUUAAAUGCACCAUACAGUCUUAUCUGAUCAUGCAUAAAUGUUCUUCAUAUUUAAAGGGUAUACAGAAAUCAAUAAGAUGAGCUGGUUCCUAUCUCGUAUUUGAUGAUCAAUAUAUUCUUUCAGCCUUCAAUACGAUCAUGUGGUGCAAAUUGAUAAUGCACAAAUUGUACUUGAAAGAUCCAAUAUGUGCACUGAGCCAAUGAGUUUUCUAUUUACAUAACUGAGUGACAAAAUGUGUAUUAAAUCAGCUAAUAUUGUAGACAACUAGAUGUGAUAAUGUAUUUACAAUAAACAAAAUAAAUGCACUCAAUGAUUUAAAACA